UUUCACCAACGGAGGAAAUGAUCAAAACAACGUAGAUAUAAGAGCAAGAACACUUAUAAGUCACCAUGUUCAGUUUUUAGAGAACAGAAAAAAGGUAUUCGAAGAUGAAAAUCUUCCACUUCACGGUAGAAAGCUUGGGUUUGAAAUAUACAAAAAGAAAAAGAAAAAGAAAAAUAAAGAUGGCAAAUCAUUGGCAAAUCGGAGUGGA
RNAcentral lists this long non-coding RNA (208 nucleotides) under Lathyrus oleraceus (garden pea). RNAcentral describes it as "Pisum sativum (pea) long non-coding RNA (PSAT_LNC002734)". Lineage: Eukaryota; Viridiplantae; Streptophyta; Magnoliopsida; Fabales; Fabaceae. The record is from RNAcentral.